UGGGGAAUUUUGGACAAUGGGCGAAAGCCUGAUCCAGCCAUGCCGCGUGAGUGACGAAGGCCUUAGGGUUGUAAAACUCUUUCGUCGGGGACGAUAAUGACGGUACCCGAAGAAGAAGCUCCGGCUAACUUCGUGCCAGCAGCCGCGGUAAUACGAAGGGAGCUAGCGUUGUUCGGAAUCACUGGGCGUAAAGCGCACGUAGGCGGAUAGUUAAGUCAGGGGUGAAAUCCUGGGGCUCAACCCCAGAACUGCCUUUGAUACUGGCUGUCUCGAGGUCGAGAGAGGUUGGUGGAAUUCCUAGUGUAGAGGUGAAAUUCGUAGAUAUUAGGAAGAACACCAGUGGCGAAGGCGGCCAACUGGCUCGAUACUGACGCUGAGGUGCGAAAGCGUGGGGAGCAAACAGGAUUAGAUACCCCGGUAGUCCCUGAGCGGGCUGGCAAGGCGCAU
RNAcentral lists this ribosomal RNA (447 nucleotides) under uncultured bacterium. RNAcentral's name for it is "bacterial SSU rRNA". It matches the Rfam family "Bacterial small subunit ribosomal RNA", at positions 355 to 825 of the family's 1533-position model. The record is from RNAcentral.